This 496-nucleotide ribosomal RNA is filed under the name uncultured bacterium. Its description in RNAcentral is "partial 16S ribosomal RNA". It matches the Rfam family "Bacterial small subunit ribosomal RNA", at positions 29 to 507 of the family's 1533-position model. The record is from RNAcentral.
AUGCACGCUGGCGGCGUGCCUCAUACAUGCAAGUCGAGCGCACGGACGAGAAGCUUGCUUCUCUGAUGUUAGCGGCGGACGGGUGAGUAACACGUGGAUAACCUACCUAUAAGACUGGGAUAACUUCGGGAAACCGGAGCUAAUACCGGAUAAUAUUUUGAACCGCAUGGUUCAAAAGUGAAAGACGGUCUUGCUGUCACUUAUAGAUGGAUCCGCGCUGCAUUAGCUAGUUGGUAAGGUAACGGCUUACCAAGGCAACGAUGCAUAGCCGACCUGAGAGGGUGAUCGGCCACACUGGAACUGAGACACGGUCCAGACUCCUACGGGAGGCAGCAGUAGGGAAUCUUCCGCAAUGGGCGAAAGCCUGACGGAGCAGCGCCGCGUGAGUGAUGAAGGUCUUCGGAUCGUAAAACUCUGUUAUUAGGGAAGAACAUAUGUGUAAGUAACUGUGCACAUCUUGACGGUACCUAAUCAGAAAGCCACGGCUAACUACGUG